CAGUAGCCGCGGUAAUACAGAGGGUGCAAGCGUUAAUCGGAAUUACUGGGCGUAAAGCGCGCGUAGGUGGUUUGUUAAGUUGGAUGUGAAAUCCCCGGGCUCGACCUGGGAACUGCAUUCAAAACUGACUGACUAGAGUAUGGUAGAGGGUGGUGGAAUUUCCUGUGUAGCGGUGAAAUGCGUAGAUAUAGGAAGGAACACCAGUGGCGAAGGCGACCACCUGGACUAAUACUGACACUGAGGUGCGAAAGCGUGGGGAGCAAACAGGAUUAGAUACCCCAGUAGUCCCUGUCUCUUAUAC
RNAcentral lists this ribosomal RNA (301 nucleotides) under uncultured bacterium. Its description in RNAcentral is "partial 16S ribosomal RNA". It matches the Rfam family "Bacterial small subunit ribosomal RNA", at positions 509 to 807 of the family's 1533-position model. The record is from RNAcentral.